Non-coding RNA from Rattus norvegicus (Norway rat), 2312 nucleotides. Lineage: Eukaryota; Metazoa; Chordata; Mammalia; Rodentia; Muridae. The record is from RefSeq and is a predicted model, not a curated record.
AAGUGAAUUGAAGCUCAUUUAAUUCAAGGUGGGGUGUUGAGACUUUGCAAUGUAUCUCUCCUAGUCUGUGGGUAAGAUGGCGUAUUGUCCGUCAUUCUGGCCAGUCAGUGACAGGUGCCCUCUCCCCUAUGUAGACAGAGAACUUAGGAACUCAGGACUCUGGUGCCCACCCUCUGGGCUGACUUAGCCUUUCCUUACCAGCUAGUCAUUAUAAGAACUUCUGUUUACAGCAUGCAGGCAGAGUUUUAGAUGUUAUCUCACAAAGUAGUAUUUAACCACUGGGAAGAGGAAGUCACAGUAUGUCUAUUUUGGAUGGGGUGGGGGUAAUCAGACGGGUGGUCUAACUGGGUUUAGAUCACAGAGCGCAACCAUAGAAGAACUUGGAUUUCCUCUGUGAUCUCUAGACCCAGGAACCUUUGCCCUAGAUUAUGACCUCACUCGGAGUCUGCUCCAUCCUGUUCCUCCCGUGUUGGCAGUGCAAAGGUCAUGCUGGUGUAGGAACAGAGAGUGAUGGUCUAGCCACAGCUGCUGAGUUGGCCCAUGUCCCCUCACAUCUAAAGCGGGAAGAGUAGGAUAAGGGAUUUGUAAAAAGGACACUUACGCUUGGCUAGAACUCUUCUCAAGAUGGUCUGCAGCUCAAAGGCAGAGAUCUCCGCAUCCUGUGGACGUAUGACCAGAACAUCAUUAUGGGCUUCCCGGUAGGCGUUGGGCGAACCACUGUGAACACCUUAAGUGAUGGAAGUCUCCGCCAGGAGAUCACUUUUCUUUUGAGUCAGCAGGACCUUGAUGACACCUACCUCUCCAGCCAGCUGAGCAAACAGCCUUCUGAAUCCAUCUCCAAUGUCCUCCUCAUUGGCUUCAAUCUAGAAGCGAGAGCACCAGCACCUGAGACCUCCACUUCAGAGGGCUGACAUCCUGGGUGGACCUGGCACAACUUCGGGCCAUCUGAGUGAGGCCCAGCUAGGAUUAGAACUGGGAAACCAUUCUUACCAGCCGCAUGAUUUAUUCUGGAUAGGUUGGUGCCUCUUUCAGAUUCGCCCAACUCAGAGCAGUGUUGGGAGACCCGGAUCUUCGAGAUGUGACCUGAGACUCUGCAGAGCGCUCACGCCACCUGUAAGCCCCAAGAGCAGUAGACGGUUUCUCGCCAAGACACCUGCGCUACAACUGUAUCAACCAUGGCCUCUUCCCUCAGCCCCACCCAUUUCUGACUUAUCCCCCACCAAGGUCAGAAUCCACCUCCUCUGUAGCAUUUAUGGAAAUCUGUCCCUUCUGGAUAAUCACGAGGACCUGUUCGUGGGCAGGUAGCCUAGUUGGAGAUGUCCCCGGGGUUCCCCGCUAAGCAAAACUUGCUUGGGGCAGUUACAGGCUGGGCUGGUAAUAAGUCAGCCAGCUAGUUUGGGAGGGUCUGAUAAGUGGAUUAACUACCACGAAGGGAUUCAGCUAGUCUGUUUUAGCGCCAGCCCUAAAGGGUGCCUGUAGGGUCCAGGGCGGAGGCCCUGGAAUGUGGUCACGUGGGUGCGGCUUGAGAAAAGAAAUGUACAGGUUUUAACCGGCAGCGGUAAGAGAUUCAAGACUAGAAGGCUCUGCUCCCCAGUGGCACACUUUUGGCUCUGCUUGCCAGUCACAACAGGACGACGCUGUUGGGAGGGACCACUCAGACCUUGGCCCACGCCGUGGGGAGGAGGGGAGAGGACUGUCUCUCCUGGUAGUCAUCACUGUUGUUACACAGGUACAAAGGUUCUUUGUGCAUCAUCUUCUGUGGACUCUUUUUGGGUCCCCAAAUUACUCUAUUUACCUCAAGCAGAAACACUUGUCCCCAGAGCCUGAUGCUGGACUAUGGCUGGCUGCGGUUAGGAGCCUGGCAACCUUUUGCUUGCCUCUGUGUUUAGUUUGUAGCCUCCAGCCUGGUUUCUGCUUAGAAGCCCCCUGACCAGCAGACGCUAUGGCUGCUGGUGUGGUUUAGCCAGUGGGGGACCUGUAGACCAAUGGUCAGGGCACGUUUUCCCUGCUUCCUCUGAUGGUGGCUCUCUCUUGGUAGGUAGCAUUGUACAAGUCCCACUUCAGGUUCUAGAAUUCUGUCAAUUGCCCCCAACCUGCAGAACGAGACGAAGAAAAGAGCCCCCGGCAGCUGCUGACCUGUAUUAAUAAAGUUGCACAGGCCCCAGCCUGUGGGGCUGAGGCAAUUGUCUACCCUGUGUUUUUUAAAGUAGUCCAUAUUCUCAGCUACAAAGAUUUAUUAUCAUAAAAACGUCUUUUCCUCUUAAAUUGGCCUAUAAAUGUGAUCUCAAUAAAAAUAGCAAUAAAAAUCGGAA